AUGAAACCAAAUGGGAACUUAACUACUUCCGACAAGGAAAAAGCGACUGUAUUAAAUGACUUUUUUACCAGUGUAUUUACUGCUGAAAAUCCAAAUAAUAUACCUAAUAUUGAAGAGAGAAAUUUUGAAUCAUCUUUAGACCACUUUGUGAUCAAUCAAGAUACAGUUGAAAAAUAUCUACUUUUAUUAAAUGGAAGCAAGUCUAUGGGUCCAGAUAAUAUUCAUCCGUUAAUAGUAAAGAGUAUGGCAAAUACAUUUUCAAAACCUUUGACUUUGAUAUUUCAAAAGUCCAUUGACACUGGAAAAAUUCCAAAAGAAUGGAAAGAUGCUAGAGUUACCCCACUUUUUAAGAAUAAAGGUAGUAAACUGGAUGCGGGAAAUUACAGACCGGUCAGUCUAACUUCAAUUGUUUGUAAAACUUUGGAAAAGGUUAUACGGAAGGAAAUGAUUGAUCAUUUAAUAACCAAUAAUUUGUUAUCAGACUCACAGUUUGGUUUUCGCUCUGGAAGAUCAUGUAUAUUACAAUUACUUGAUGUCAUGGAAGACUGGUCAUUAUAUAUGGAUAAUAAUAUAUCCUGGGACACAUUAUAUCUCGAUUUUGCCAAAGCUUUCGAUAAAGUGCCACAUAAAAGAUUACUAAAGAAACUGUAUUCAUACGGUAUUCGUGGAUCUAUAUUAGAAUGGAUAACUGACUUUUUAACUGGACGUCGACAACAAGUUGCGGUGAAAGGGGAAAAAUCUGAAUGGCAAAAUGUAAUUAGUGGAGUGCCCCAAGGCAGUGUACUUGGACCUGUUCUUUUCAUUAUAUUCAUAAAUGAUUUACCAGAUGUUGUGGAGUCUAUAGUAAAAAAAUUUUCGCAGACGAUACUAAAAUUUAUGCACCUACUUCUAAAUCUGAUGUCUUACAGAAUGAUCUAGAUGCCCUCUACAAUUGGUCCAAGUUAUGGGACAUGAAAUUUAAUGUGAACAAAUGUAAACAAAUCCAUUAUGGAAGAAAUAAUCCUGAAAAUGUUUAUACCAUGAACAAUAUUGAUAUCAUUAAAGAUGAACAAGAAAAGGAUCUUGGAAUUAUUUUUCAAAAUGAUCUUAAAUUUUCUCAACAUAUAUCAAGUAAAAUAAAUAAAGCCAAUAGUAUACUUGGGCUAAUUAACCGAACUUUUAUCUUUAAAGAUCAAUAUACAUUUUUAAGACUAUACGUUGCGUUGGUACGACCACACGUGGAAUAUGGAAAUACAAUAUGGUAUCCGCAUUUAAAGAAAGAUAUUAAUGCUGUAGAAAAAGUGCAGAUGAGAGCAACUAAAUUAAUUCCUGAUAUACGACAUUUAAGCUAUGAAGACAGAUUAAAAGUACUUAAACUACCUUCCCUAACUCACAGAAGGCGAAGAGGUGAUAUGAUACAAGCUUUCAAAAUAUUAAAAGGAUUCGAAGAUAUAUCUUAUGAAAGAUUUUUUACUGUCAUCAGUACAAAUACCCGUGGGCAUAAUUGGAAAUUAGCAAAACCUAGAUGUAACACUUCUUUUCAGUUAAGACAUUUCUCACAACGAAUUAUUAAUGAUUGGAAUAACCUACCAGUUGAAGUUAUUUCAUCAAAAACUGUGGAAGCCUUUAAAAUUAGUAUAGACCGUCAUUGGGAGUCAGUCAUGUAUCAGUUAAGAAAUUGA
This 1661-nucleotide small RNA is filed under the name Mytilus galloprovincialis (Mediterranean mussel). The record is from RNAcentral. Lineage: Eukaryota; Metazoa; Mollusca; Bivalvia; Mytilida; Mytilidae.